RNAcentral lists this ribosomal RNA (466 nucleotides) under uncultured bacterium. RNAcentral describes it as "partial 16S ribosomal RNA". It matches the Rfam family "Bacterial small subunit ribosomal RNA", at positions 28 to 507 of the family's 1533-position model. The record is from RNAcentral.
GAUGAACGCUGGCGGCGUGCUUAACACAUGCAAGUCGAACGGAAAGGCCCAAGCUUGCUUGGGUACUCGAGUGGCGAACGGGUGAGUAACACGUGGGUGAUCUGCCCUGCACUUCGGGAUAAGCCUGGGAAACUGGGUCUAAUACCGGAUAGGACCACAUUUUGGAUGGUGUGGUGGAAAGUUUUUCGGUGUGGGAUGGGCUCGCGGCCUAUCAGCUUGUUGGUGGGGUAAUGGCCUACCAAGGCGUCGACGGGUAGCCGGCCUGAGAGGGUGUACGGCCACAUUGGGACUGAGAUACGGCCCAGACUCCUACGGGAGGCAGCAGUGGGGAAUAUUGCACAAUGGGCGCAAGCCUGAUGCAGCGACGCCGCGUGGGGGAUGACGGCCUUCGGGUUGUAAACUCCUUUCGCUAGGGACGAAGCGUUAUGUGACGGUACCUGGAGAAGAAGCACCGGCUAACUACGUG